UGGACAAAUUAUUGUAUUCGACUGUAUUCACGGCAUGAAACAGGGGAUUACACUAUUUUUAAACAGAAAGUGAAUCAAUUAACAUAAUAGACUCCU
RNAcentral lists this microRNA precursor (96 nucleotides) under Nicotiana sylvestris (wood tobacco). RNAcentral's name for it is "MIR6152 microRNA precursor family". It matches the Rfam family "MIR6152 microRNA precursor family". The record is from Rfam by way of RNAcentral. RNAcentral also lists the same sequence under 1 other name. Lineage: Eukaryota; Viridiplantae; Streptophyta; Magnoliopsida; Solanales; Solanaceae.